UGAGUGCUCAUUUCAAAGGGGAUCUCAUUCUUUGGGUUCUAUUUUGAUUAAGGAAAUAAGAAACAGAUGUUUUAUGUGCCCACCGACUGACCUUAGGAUGCAUUCGGGAGUCUGAAAAGAUUUGCUGAAAAUAACAGUUCCAAACUUCUCCAUUGGUGUUGCCGGUCUUUCACUGCCCAAAACACUGACUGUAAUUAGAACAAGUGGACCAGGAGCUAUUGUUCUUUCACAGAAGAGGAAGGUUGUGCCACCUUUGAACAUCAUUAUGUCAUCUGCAAGACAAGAACAUUUACUGAGUUCACCCAAGACAAUAGAUCCAGAAGAAUGGUUGAUUUGUUUUGUUAAAAUAUAUGAUCCUCACAGGUAUAGCUACUAAGGAAAGGAAGAUGAAUGGAACAGAAAUGAGAUAAGAAGAACUUUGCCACUGAGCCAGGCCAGGUAGUGUGACUAGAAAACUGUGAGGUUCAACACUGCCAAGGACUCCCUUUGUCCCCAUGGGAAUUUCCUGUGCAACUGGGCCAUUCAGCUUUCACUUCCUGAAUGACACAAACUUGGAUUGCAUAACCCUGUUCAUUGAGUGCACAUUAAAUGUGCACACUAGUCCAAUGCUG
This 611-nucleotide long non-coding RNA is filed under the name Rattus norvegicus (Norway rat). RNAcentral describes it as "long non-coding RNA NONRATT032702". The record is from RNAcentral. Lineage: Eukaryota; Metazoa; Chordata; Mammalia; Rodentia; Muridae.